This 999-nucleotide long non-coding RNA is filed under the name Heterocephalus glaber (naked mole-rat). RNAcentral describes it as "lncRNA (ENSHGLG00000033428.1)". The record is from RNAcentral. Lineage: Eukaryota; Metazoa; Chordata; Mammalia; Rodentia; Bathyergidae.
CUCCACUGGAGGGAGCAGCUCCCUGCUUCCUCAAGGGGAAUGGUGUGCCCCUGGGACUAAUUUCCUAGGCUCCCCAAAAGAACACAGAGAUACGCUUGCCAGUCACAGAAGACAGGAGACAACAGGAGGAGGGCUGCUGUUGUUGGUGUCUUCUCUGUUUCUUUCCUUUGCUUGAUGGGAGCAGGUUCAUAGAAGAUGGGGUUCAUCAUGCUGAAUAUACAGUAACCACAGAGGAUGAAGUGAUCCUAGCUGGAGCCCCUUCCUUUUGGCUGGUGGGCACAAUGAGUUGAGCUCUGGGUACUCAUACAGGCACUCCAAUGGGCAAAAGGUAAAAAGCCUUGCAUGCUGUGACAAGUGGUGCCCUCUUUUGAAAAGAGAAAACUCACCAUGGAAAGUGAUAUUCCACUGCUGAUCAGCAUGUGAGGCUUUCUUGAAACUCAACAUGUGAGGGUUGAAGGCAAAACAUGAGGGGUGAUAAACUAGGAGAGAAAAAUUGAAGUAACCUACAGCUACAAGUCAGUUUGGAAGAUCAACCUCCAAAGCCUGGCAAAGGAACAAGGAUGCAUUCAAAUCUUAAUCCCAUAUAAGAGGACUUAAGUAGCCAUGAAAUAGCCUGGCCUGUCUGCAGCAAGUUUGCAAAUUAGGACUUUUCCAGCCAGAGGUCUCUUGUCUGUCCCAUUGCUAAGCAAGUGGGGGAAGUGUUUCUUUAGAUACACUUUCUUUUAUCUUUUGUUUUUGUCUUCUCAUUUAUGUUACUGCUAUGGAUCAAAUGUAUCUAAAGAAAAAAAGGGCUUUAAGCAGUGACUACUGUCCCUUUCAAAAACAUGUAGAGGUUGGGUUCAGAUCCUUAGCUUACUUAAUUGUUAAUUGUAAUUUGCCAGCAAUGUCCUUGGUUGUCAUAUGAGGGUAACUUAGACACAAAUACUGGAAAUGAUUGAUUAUAAAUUAAAGUAAUCUCUUGGCUCAGUAUGGGUGCUUACUUUGCAAUGUGGCAUCUUU